This is a long non-coding RNA of Oncorhynchus tshawytscha (Chinook salmon), 1294 nucleotides long. The record is from Ensembl. Lineage: Eukaryota; Metazoa; Chordata; Actinopteri; Salmoniformes; Salmonidae.
CAAACAUUUAAAUCAAUCAGAACUUUUUUCUCUCAGCUUGUAUCUGUCUAUCUCUCUCUUCCUCCAUCAUUACUCUUCCUCUCUUUCUCCUCCUCUUUUCCUAUGUGUGUGUGUGACAAGACUGUGUGCUGUCGCUAUCUCCUCCUGUGUGUGUCACAGGAGUGUGUGUUGCUUUCCUCCUGCAUGUGUGUGUGUUCUCUCUCCUCAGGAGUGUGUGUUGGCGUGACAGGGCUUGUUGUGGCAUUGUGUAGCUGUCAGCCCCGCGGCUGGAGGAAGAUGUAUGAAGACACAGAGACAGGAGGACAGGAGUGCGUCAGAGAGGAUUGAGCUGUCACUGAUUCACAGCAAACUGCUCGGUCAUCACACUGCUGCUGCUUAGAGCAGGUCAGCGAGACGGAGAAAUAGAGGGGUCUUCUACACACGAGGGGACAGCUGUUGUGCAGUGAAGAUGUUCCGGGACAGCCCAUGCACAGUGGUGUGGGGAGAGAUCCAACAUGUCUACUCUUCCCAUCCCGGCGGGAGCGUCAGAAUAGGGAAGCAUUGUUCCACGGAAGAUGGACGGCCCUUCUAAUGUCUGCCUCUGGAAGAGCCGUCAGCCAGCCAGGAGCUGCCAGAGCCGUCAGCCAGCCAGGAGCUGCCAGAGCCGUCAGUCAGCCAGGAGCUGCCAGAGCCGUCAGUCAGCCAGGAGCUGCCAGAGCCGUCAGCCAGCCAAGAGCUGCCAGAGCCGUCAGUCAGCCAGGAGCUGCCAGAGCCGUCGAGCUGCCAGAGCCGUCAACCAGCCAGGAGCUGCCAGAGCCGUCGAGCUGCCAGAGCCGUCAACCAGCCUGAACUACCCCUCAGUCCUGAGCUACCUCUCAGUCCUGAGCUACCCUAUAGGUUCAGGUUUUGCGGCCGGAGUCCUCACCUUGGGGGGGGGGGGUACUGUCACGUUCUGACCAUAGAUCUUUUGUGUUUUCUUUGUUUUAGUGUUGGUCAGGAUGUGAGCUGAGUGGGCAUUCUAUGUUGUGUGUCUAGUUUUCCCGUUUCUAUGUUUGGCCUGAUAUGGUUCUCAAUCAGUGGCAGGGCUUAGUCAUUGUCUCUGAUAGGGAACCAUAUUUAGGUAGCCUGUUGUGUGUUGGGUUUUGUGGGUGGUUGUCUUCUGUCUUCGUGUGUCUGCACCAGACAGAACUGUUUCGGUUUUUCCACAUUUGUUGUUUUGUAUUUUGUAGUGUUCACAUUUAUCGUCUAUAUUAAACAUGAUGAACACUAACCACGCUGCGCUUUGGUCCUCUCCUCCGUCAACAGAAGAAAGCCG